CUGCUGUGAUGAAACUAAGGACUUAAAAUUGAAUGCUUGAUGAGACAUUGACCUAGUGUCGAUCCUGAGCGGUUAACUGAGCAG
Small nucleolar RNA from Ipomoea triloba (trilobed morning glory), 84 nucleotides. RefSeq annotates it as small nucleolar RNA snoR128. The record is from RefSeq and is a predicted model, not a curated record. Lineage: Eukaryota; Viridiplantae; Streptophyta; Magnoliopsida; Solanales; Convolvulaceae. The transcript has a single exon.